AUGAAUAUCAUCAAUUGGAACUGUCGGGGAGGGGGGAAUACCCGAACAAUUCGAGAGCUAGCGACGUUUGUGACAAAUCGUUCGUUUUUUUAUGUGUGUGAAACUUGACAAAAGGUGGAAAGAAUGAGAGGUAAAAGUGAUCGGCUUGGCCUCCGUGGUUUUGAGGGUCUUGACAGUACAGGUUUAAGCGGUGGGUUAGCGCUUCACUGGCAUGAACCUUGCUUGGUUAAUAUUAUAGAUAAAGAUGACCACUAUAUUGAUAUUGUGGUACACAUUAUGGAAUCAAGUGAACAGUGGAGAUUGACUUGUGUGUAUGACGAACCUCGAGUUGAAAAAUCGCCAUCUAAUGUGGGUGAAGCUUCACUUCAAUGA
RNAcentral lists this ribosomal RNA (372 nucleotides) under Triticum aestivum (bread wheat). RNAcentral's name for it is "partial small subunit ribosomal RNA". The record is from RNAcentral. Lineage: Eukaryota; Viridiplantae; Streptophyta; Magnoliopsida; Poales; Poaceae.